GGAUGGUGUUGAACUCCUUCACGAGAUCACAAUAGUGAAGCGCAAAUUUAUUCAAGUAACCAGGGGGAUGCAACUAGAUCACCAAAAACUCUUGAGCAAGAUCUGUUCUGUUCCAUGAUCAAGACAUGUAAACCAUGAGCAGUUGUGCGGCAAGAUGUCAAGGAGCACUGGAGCAGAGAAAUGGAAGAAUAUCUGGCAAGGAAUGCUGGUGGAAUGAGAAGGAAUCUGAAGGCAGACAAAACAAGAGAUCUUCUGGUGAAGGACUUUGUCUGCCCAGCAACAGAGUGCUUGAGGGGACAUCCAAUGCCCUUGUAUCCCAUCCGCUUGCAAAUCAAGUAUAUCUCAGUGAAAUGAAAAGUACAGCUGUUCGUAUUUGACAGCACCCAAUGUUUUCGCGGCUACGAAAAUAUAGACGCUCCCUUAAGCCGAGUGAGCAUCACGGUUUCCACACCCCGAGGGAGGAUAGGAGAUGGACAGGAGGGGGACACCGGUUUUCGACGUCAAAAGCUACGGGUUAUACGGAGUGUCAACACCGUGAAUAUAGGCUACAACAUUACAGGUCUUCUUCUUCACUGCCUCUGCAUUAAAACAGCUGUCACGGUUCAAACCUUUCCACCAGGACUCGUGUUUAACAUCGCGACUCUUCCUCCGCCGCUGAGCCGCUCUCCAGUGCUGAAACCCCGGGCGCAGCUGUCGCUCCGUCCCCUUAGGAAACUGUCCUAAUGAAGGAGGCCGACGCCAUCAAGCUCUUCAUUGGCCAGAUCCCGCGGAAUCUGGAAGAGAAAGACCUGAAGCCCAUCUUUGAGCAGUUUGGGAAGAUCUAUGAGCUUACGGUGAUCAAGGACAAGUACACGGGAAUGCACAAAGGAUGUGCGUUCUUGACGUACUGUGCGAGGGAGUCAGCCUUGAAGGCCCAGAAUGCACUGCACGAGCAGAAGACAUUGCCGGGGAUGAACCGCCCCAUUCAAGUGAAGCCAGCGGACAGUGAGGGCCGAGGAGACAGGAAGCUGUUUGUGGGGAUGUUGGGGAAACAGCUGUCAGAUACAGAUGUCAGAAAAAUGUUCGAGCCUUUCGGGAGUAUAGAGGAGUGCACAGUACUCAGAGGGCCUGACGGAGCCAGCAAAGGUUGCGCAUUUGUAAAAUAUCAGAGUAACGCAGAAGCACAGGCGGCCAUUAGCGCUCUACACGGCAGCCGCACUCUCCCGGGUGCAUCUUCUAGUCUGGUGGUAAAGUUUGCAGACACAGAGAAGGAGAGAGGAAUCAGGCGUAUGCAGCAGGUGGCCUCUCAGCUGGGUGUCAUUAGUCCCAUGAGCCUACACCUGGGCGCCUACAACGCCUACACACAGGCAACGCACAGUCAACUUGCUCUCGAGUGUUCACGGACCGGUGUUUUGACCGUUCCAAUGUGGCGGACGGCUAACGUAUGGCAGCCCAUAGAAACAGCCACUAAUGAGCUCGUCCAACAGCAGGCCUUGGUGGCUCAGUCCGCAUAUCUGUCUCCUGUGGCAACGGUUGCCGCGGUGCAGAUGCAGCAGUUGGCUGCUCUCAAUCCCAGCAGCAUCAUAGCCACACCCAUCGCCUCAAUCACACCCUCCUCAGGUACGAACACUCCUCCAGCCAUUGCCACACCUGUGCCUGCUCUGCCUCCAAUCGCAGUCAACAGUUACCCACAAGUCCCUGCACCACCCAAUGGCCAGUCUGCCUCUGAAACCCUCUACACCAAUGGUGUCCACCCAUAUCAGGCUCAGAGUCCUGCAUUGGAUCCUCUCCAGCAGGCAUAUACAGGCAUGCAACACUACACGGCUACAUAUCCUGCUGCUUAUGGAUUGGUCGGUCAACCAUUUCCACAUCAGCCCACCUUGGUUGCCCAGCAACCCCAGCAGCCGCAGCAGCUGCAACAACGAGAAGGACCAGAAGGCUGCAAUAUCUUUAUUUAUCAUCUGCCUCAGGAGUUCACGGACUCGGAGAUGCUGCAGAUGUUCCUGCCUUUCGGUAACGUCAUCUCAGCCAAGGUGUUCGUUGACCGCGCCACCAAUCAGAGCAAAUGCUUUGGUUUCGUAAGCUUCGACAACCCGGCGAGCGCUCAGGCUGCCAUCCAGUCCAUGAACGGCUUUCAGAUCGGCAUGAAGAGGCUUAAAGUUCAGCUCAAGAGGCCUAAAGAUGCCAACCGCCCAUACUGAGACGAACAGGCUGCCCCGUCCAAUCAUAACUCGUGCGGAGACCACGUCGCUAUGGCUACGGUGGCCUAGCAACCAAUAAAGCUCCCCCUUCCUCCCACAGCGUUGGUUUGGAAGAAAGGAGAGGACUAACGGAGUCACUUUUCCUCUGCUGCAAAUUACGGGACCAACAACUUUCGCAAAACUACAGUAUAAGACCUACCGAGAUUAUUUAAACAAAAAAAUAUACAUUUAAUAGUAAUAAAGACAGACUUAUCGCAGGAGAGGUGCAGGUUAAAUAGAAUGAUUUACUACCUUAACAGUAUACGAUAUAGGACCAAUCAGCAACGCAACGCCACUCGCUCUUCUGCUUCACAAGCUGUUGUGCCGUGUGCUUGUGGGUCGUGAUUUUUCUGCCCUCGACCCACACAUCUACGCAACACACACACACACAAAUGGGACCAACGCAAAUAUGUCAGUACUACACGAGUUUCACUUCUGGGUUCAAACGAACUACAGACUAUUAAAGUCUUUGUGCAGCAAUCUAAAAUAUGUAUAUAGAAAUUCCAGGGGACCAUGUGUAGACAUAUCAAAACAGUUGGGAGGGUGGGACUGGGUCAAUGCGAUCAGAGCAAAGAAUCAUGGGAGGUAUGGUAGCUAGAGAAGUUUUGGGAGUUUUGAAGGAUUUGCUCUUGGUCUCUAAUCUGAGUCCAGUUAUACAUAGUUCUUCAUCUUUAAUACUUACAGAAACGAAUUACCUGUGGUAUAGGAUGCUGGUCCUAUAUUGCAAUCCUCCCUAAAAGUACUGAAUAUAGUUUAUCACAGAGAGGCUGUAGUUAGAGUUUUUUUUAUUUUUAGUUUUGUUAGUUUUUCUUUCUUUUUAAGAAAAAAAAUUGUGGAUGAUUCGAGAAGAUUCAUGAACGUUAAAACAUUUAAAAAUGUAUUUCAUUGUAUAUAUCAUGCUUUUAAAAUGAAGGUCAAGAUUUAAACAUUUGGGAUAUUAUUAUUAUUAUUAUUAUUAUUUAGGGAAAGUGAUUUCUAUCUUUUUUUGCAAUUAAUUUAUCAAUUUCUUGGAGGGCAUUUUUUAAAUUAUUUAUGAAGAUAGAGGAUCAUUGGCACAUGUCCCGAUGAAUCCAUGUAUUUUUAGACAUUUUAUUUACAGAUUUACCAUUAAUGAACAAUCAUUAUUAUUAUUAUUAUUAUUAUUAUUAUUCUAUUUAUUUUCUUCAACUGUUGUUUCACAACCUGUCGAUUACAAAAAAAAAAUUUGAAUAAAAUUUUAAACAAUA
Ctenopharyngodon idella (grass carp) is the source of this 3445-nucleotide RNA transcript. It is a transcript of the gene named cugbp, Elav-like family member 3a, with no coding region annotated. NCBI's taxonomy places the organism in Eukaryota, Metazoa, Chordata, Actinopteri, Cypriniformes, Xenocyprididae. The transcript is spliced from 18 exons. The record is from RefSeq and is a predicted model, not a curated record.